GCCCAGACUCCUACGGGAGGCAGCAGUAGGGAAUUUUGCGCAAUGGACGAAAGUCUGACGCAGCAACGCCGCGUGAGCGAUGAAGGUUUUCGGAUCGUACAGCUCUGUUGAGUGGGAAGAAACGUCUCGGGGUUAAUAUCUCCGAGGCCUGACGGUACCACUCGAGGAAGCUCCGGCCAACUACGUGCCAGCAGCCGCGGUAAUACGUAGGGAGCGAGCGUUGUUCGGAAUCACUGGGCGUAAAGGGAGUGCAGGCGGAGGAGUAAGUCAGAAGUGUAAUCUACGGGCUCAACCCGUAUCCCGCUUUUGAUACUGUUCUUCUUGAGUAAUGGAGAGGGAAACGGAAUUCCAGGUGUAGCGGUGGAAUGCGUAGAUAUCUGGAAGAACACCAGUAGCGAAGCCGGUUUCCUGGCCACAUACUGACGCUGAGGCUCGAAAGCGUGGGGAGCAAACAGGAUUAGAUACCCUGGUAGUCCACGCCGUAAACGAUGGGCACUAGAUAUCGGGGAAUUCGAUUUCUUCGGUGUCGCAGUUAACGCGAUAAGUGCCCCGCCUGGGGAGUACGCCCGCAAGGGUGAAACUCAAAGGAAUUGACGGGGGCCCGCACAAGCGGUGGAGCAUGCGCUUUAAUUCGAUGCAACGCGAAGAACCUUACCUGGGUUUGACAUGGGAGUGAAACUUCCCAGAGAUGGGAAGCCUUCCUUCGGGAACACUCCACACAGGUGCUGCAUGGUUGUCGUCAGCUCGUGUCGUGAGAUGUUGGGUUAAGUCCCGCAACGAGCGCAACCCUCGCCCUUAGUUGCCAUCAGGUAAUGCUGGGAACUCUAAGGGGACCGCCUGGAACAACCAGGAGGAAGGUGGGGAUGAUGUCAAAUCAUCAUGGCUCUUACGUCCAGGGCUAGACGCGUGCUACAAUGGUCGGUACAGAAGGAUGCCAAGUCGUGAGACUGAGCUAAUCCAUGAAAACCGGCCUCAGUUCGGAUUGGAGUCUGCAAUUCGACUCCAUGAAGGUGGAAUCGCUAGUAAUCGCGGAUCAGCAUGCCGCGGUGAAUAUGUUCCCGGGCCUUGUACACACCGCCCGUCAAGCCACGAAAGAUGGGAGUACCCGAAGUCGCUUGCCCAACCCGCAAGGGAGGGUGGUGCCGAAGGUAAGAC
This 1155-nucleotide ribosomal RNA is filed under the name uncultured organism. RNAcentral describes it as "bacterial SSU rRNA". It matches the Rfam family "Bacterial small subunit ribosomal RNA", at positions 329 to 1468 of the family's 1533-position model. The record is from RNAcentral.